This 21-nucleotide unclassified non-coding RNA is filed under the name Chlamydomonas reinhardtii. Its description in RNAcentral is "small RNA Cre_1388". The record is from RNAcentral. Lineage: Eukaryota; Viridiplantae; Chlorophyta; Chlorophyceae; Chlamydomonadales; Chlamydomonadaceae.
CGUCGUCGGUGAGGCUGGUGG